AUGAACAUCAAAAUCAAUUCAGUCCUCGAUCCUUGCAAAGAAGUAGUUCCAUCUUGGUGCCCGCCGAGUGCGGGGAAAGUUAAGUUGAACUCUAGUGGUUCCUUCACCGUGGAUGGAAGAGCAGGUGCUGGUAUGGUUUUGAGAGAUUCUAAUGGUGCAAUCAUCUUUUCUGCAUGUCGUACGUUGUAUAGAUGCUGUGAUGCCUUGGAAGCAGAAUUGUGCGCUUGA
This 228-nucleotide ribosomal RNA is filed under the name Triticum aestivum (bread wheat). Its description in RNAcentral is "partial small subunit ribosomal RNA". The record is from RNAcentral. Lineage: Eukaryota; Viridiplantae; Streptophyta; Magnoliopsida; Poales; Poaceae.